Pungitius pungitius (ninespine stickleback) is the source of this 2728-nucleotide long non-coding RNA. RefSeq lists it as uncharacterized. The transcript has 3 exons. Lineage: Eukaryota; Metazoa; Chordata; Actinopteri; Perciformes; Gasterosteidae. The record is from RefSeq and is a predicted model, not a curated record.
UAUACAUGGUUACGCCCUUGAAUGGGGCCUAAAUAUUAUGUGAAUUUCCUACCCUGCUAUGGCAUGACAUAUUAUGCAGCACGAUAAAGUGUCAUUAAUGUCUACAUUGAAUCAACGGUGCUAGAAUAUUUGGUGUUUGGUUGUCCUCCCCCAAAGCCCAUAUAUAUGGAUAACUUGCCAACGAUAUAAACUAUUUGACAAAAGUAUAUAGAUAACACUGCAAUAAGUAAGACAAAUCUUUCGAUAUGAGACAGGCUGUCUCAGUUGAGUUGGGGUCUGAUAGGCGCAGAUACGAAGACAAUUGGUUGAAGUUGUCAACAUCAAAGGGGGCUGACUUUGGCAGUCUAGAAAGCUUUUGGAAUACACCCUGAAACCAGAGAUGGGGAUGGUGAGAAGAAAUUCAGUCUGAAGAAGAGUAAAUGGGAUUGGGUCAAGGGUGUAUGUGGUGAGGCAGUUAGAGUACAUACUGAAACCUCUUGUGAAGCAACAUAAGGCCUCCUGAUGGUAUCAGCCCCAGGGUGCUGAAGACCUGCGCCAUCCAGCUGUCUAAAGCCCACCAACAUCUCCUUAUUCUGAACCUAAAGCAGCAGGCAGUCCCGAUGCUGUAGGAGACACCGUGGCCUCAAUGACCAAUGACUAGUUGCCCUCACAUCCCAUGUGAUGAAGGUGCUGGAGAGGCUGCUCUUGACCCACCUUCAAGCCCAGAUAAAAUCAUCACCGGGCCCUCUGCAAUUUGCAUUGCCUUAUGUGGGAGUGGAUGACGCCAUCAUCUACCUGCUGCCACGAGCCCAGUCGCACCUGGAUGGUGGCUCUAUCCCUUUCUUUGACUUCUCCAAUCAGUGAUUCUGGCGCUUCACAGUUCUGUGUACCUUGUACACAACUCACUUCAGUUAGGGCAGCUCCGACCGCUGGGCGCUACAUGACUUGUAAAAAUAAAUGCUGCAGCCUGCCGAAGAGCAACGUCAGUUUUUACGGCAUAAUGCCGUUAUGAACAGUGCGUGAGUUACCGUAAAACCUUGAUUAAAGACUACAUAGAAGACUGUAAAAAUUGUCAGCCCCUCCCCACUCUUUAUUCUUAAACCGGAAAUAUGAUCAUUAGCGCCUAAAACGUUUUGUGUAUUCUUGUGUGAGUACUACACUUUUAAAUGCUAUUUCCCAUUCUAAAUUCAUAAUUUAUGUCUGCACAUAUAAAUACUUGUUCUGAAUACAAGGGCUUGUAAAUGUGGUAGUUGUAGUUUUUAUUCUUAAAAUAUCAAUGUUUGUCUACAUUUUUAAUUGUUCAAAAAUGCUUCCAGUUUUAUUAGAAAUUAAAUAAAAUACAUAUUAAAAUGUAUACUUAAUUCUAGUUGAGUAAUAACGUCUCAACUUCACCAGGUAUUUUAUGUAAUCCUUCGGUUUUAGUAAUUACUAUUACCCUUCUACGUUAUUAACAAGGCCCAGCAGAACAGGCUGAGCCCCAAUGCUCCCUCAAGCUAAUGGUGACUGAAAGAGUGGGGGGAUGGGCGAGGGUACGGUGGGGACAGUCAAUGUCAGGUUUUGUGUUAAGAACCUUAAGUUUCGUUUUUUUACACAAAACCGAACUGUUACCAUCCACGUGGGGUCCUCGGUCUGGCCACGCCCCCACCAAGCACCUGCUACCGUCCAUUUCCCUCAGACUGCCGAGGAGCAGACAACGUGACGGUGCUGGCUGCAGAAGCUGGAUAGAAAUGGUGAGUUUUUAAUUAUUGGACUAGCUUCUAAUGUAAAACAGUGCUUUUUACGUUUACUUUGAUACUAUUAAUAUAUGUACUGCCAUAUAAAAUGAGCUGUUGCAAUGUGCUAAACUCAACUUAGAUGGGAAGCUAAUGUUAGCUAACAAUAAGCAAGCAUGUGCAACUAGCACCACAAAUAGUGCUGUUAAGUUUACUUUGAUACUAUUUUCAUAUGUACUGCCAUAUAAAAUGAGCUGUUGCAAUGUGUUAAACUCAACUUAAAUGGACAGCUAAUGUUAGCUAACAAUAAGCAAGCAUGUGCAAGCAGCAGCAUGUGCACGCGUUGUGAAAUAGAAUGCUGGACAGCUAAUUAGUUAUUUAUUAUAUACUAUAUAAAUAUAUUCAUGUUUUAUCAAUAUCUUUUCACACAGAAUGUGAAUAUUAUGCUCAACAAAGGGAGUGUAAUACUUAAUCUGCGUUAAGACCUGGAUUAUAACUAAUUUCCCUUUAACCAUUUUAAGUAUCCUUACGGUGGCUUUUGGGCCUAUAACACUUAAUAAGCAGUUUUCCAUUUGCCCAAAGAGUGAUUGUAAUAUCUACCCAUGUAUAAAUAGGCAUUUUAAUUCAGAUUGUCAUAGGUAUUGAGAUAGAUAAUAUAAUGUUUGUCGUUAAGAACAGAAGUAGAUGUUACUAUAAUGCAUUCCAUAACAGAUAAACUUAAUUCAUUUCAGUAAAAAUAAAAAAAAAGAGUACUGUAAUGAGUUGGAUGUAUAGCUUUGGCUGAAUGUGUCCCUUGUGCUUUUAGGAGGAUGGAGCAUGUUUGCCAUCCAGUAGUGACAGCUCGAAGUGCACAGAUGCUGAUGUCGGAGAAAUGAAGGAGCCUUUGACCGUGAACAUACUAACCAGGUAGUUCCGAUGAAAAGAUGCUGCUGGCUGGAGAGGUCUGGUGAAUCUCACACAAAAAAGGUAAUCUCUUCCAAGUUUUUCCAGGUUUUCACCUAACAUAUCUAUUAGGGCUGUCAACAAAUAUUCUAUAU